Picea glauca (white spruce) is the source of this 123-nucleotide non-coding RNA. NCBI's taxonomy places the organism in Eukaryota, Viridiplantae, Streptophyta, Pinopsida, Pinales, Pinaceae. The record is from Rfam.
AUGUACAUUCCUACAACAUAGAGUUAAUGCACCAGAUCCCAUUAAAACUCCAUAGUUAAGCGCACUCAGGCUAGAGUAGUAUUGUGAUGGGUGACCGCCCAUGAAGUCCUAGUGUUUUACAUG